GCCAUCACAAACCCAGUAAAUAACGAG
This 27-nucleotide non-coding RNA is filed under the name Drosophila melanogaster (fruit fly). The record is from RNAcentral. Lineage: Eukaryota; Metazoa; Arthropoda; Insecta; Diptera; Drosophilidae.